This 2126-nucleotide long non-coding RNA is filed under the name Nicotiana benthamiana. RNAcentral's name for it is "long non-coding RNA (NBEN_LNC010165)". Lineage: Eukaryota; Viridiplantae; Streptophyta; Magnoliopsida; Solanales; Solanaceae. The record is from RNAcentral.
CAGAACCCCUAAAAAACGCGAUUGUUCUUCUUCUCCGAAUUUUGUUCAAAUCCGAGCGAGUGAAGCCCAAAUCCUAAUUCAUGCGUCCCUCCUUAUCUCAUCUCACCAUUUCUAACGAUUUCUGACACUAAAAAUGCUUCCUCCCUUCACUCUCUCAACUCAGAGAUUUAGCACGCGAUUGGAAGGUCCUAGAGACGAAUCGUUGGAUGAGGAUGAGUCAUUGGAUUGAAUUUGUUCAACCCUCCAUUCACUCUCUCAACUCAGAGAUUUAGCACGCGAUUGGAAGGUCCUAGAGACGAAUCGUUGGAUGAGGAUGAAUCGUUGGAUUGACUUCGUUCAAUCCAAGCCCUAUUUUCAUCAGGGGUUCGUUCUAUAAAGGACGGGAUCCGAUUUUGAGAAGGGGGUUUUUUUUGGAGAGAAGAAGAUCUGAAGGCAGAUUCAAGAGGAGUAAAAUUCUAGAGCUUAGUGUUCUUCACAUCUAUUAUUGCUUUUUUUCUUCAUUCGUAGUGUUAAUUCUAAAAAAACAUAUACAGAAAUGUUUAAAGUCCUGUGAAUCUAUUGUUGCUUGGUUCACUGUCCACCCGCUUCGAAAUACAUGAAUUAUGUCCUAAAAGUCAUUGGAAUUCGUUGUUGAUCGAGGCAUUGAUUUGUGGCUGCUGUUGCAUUGCAUCGAUUUCAAGUGUUGGGACUCCUUCACUUUUUUUUCAGGUUUACCUCUGCUUCUUCUAUUAUUUCUAUUGUGAAGUGAAUCCUAGAUGGCCCUGGACCGAUUGUUAAAAUGAAUUCAGUUGUGAUAAUAGAUGAGGCUUGUAUGGUUACCCUCGACUUCAUUUAUUGUUAUGCUUUCAACGUUUCCCAUGAAUUCAUGUGUAGUGAGUCAGUUUCUGAAUAGACGAGGAGUAACAUUUGUUUGGUUUCAUCAUCGUAUUCGUGUUUGUACUGACUUGUAUUAUCCUUCAGCUCGUACCUUCUUCGAAUUUGAUCCCUACUGAUGUUGCAAAUUUGGUAUAAGAUUGUUUUAGUAUCAUCCUUCAGCUCAUACCUGCUUCGAAUUUGAUCCCCUGCUAAUGUUGUAAAUUGGGUAGAUUGUAGCUUUAUAGUGCCAAGGUUGUUUCCUGUUGCAUCUGUUCAAAAAUAAGCUUUGACGAGAAUUCAUCGCCGUUGUUUGAUUCCUGAAUGAGUGUCUAAGUCGUCUUUGAAAUGCUGAGAAUUGAACACCAUCUUAUAACCCCCUAUUCUAACUGUCACCACCUCAUAUCUUAUUUUCUCUUUGUUAAUUUUGGUUUCAGUCGAGAUAGGCUGUUUAUUUGACCAAAUAUCAGUGGUUUCUCGCUAGGCGAUGAUCAUUCCUUAAUAAUUUGAACUUGAAGCUGUCCUAAUCUACUUUGUUGAUGAAAAUUUAAGCACGCUUCCUCGAGCUGGUUCUGCCUGUGUAUGUGUAGUCUAUUUUUUGUGCUGGAAAUCAUUUGAAUCAUUAGCUAUUCGAUCUAUCGUCGCCUUAACUUCGUGACCCUGGUGUUAAGUUUGGUGUUUGUAAAGCUGUUAGCUAAUAUUAUUCUCUGAGUUUCUUCCUCUUCAGUCUUAAUGAAGCUGUCUCAUGGCAUUACUUGCUUGCCUGCUGUUGUAGCUGGUGAUUUAUUCAUCAAUUAUCAACCCUCUCCAUCCUUCUGCCAUAGAACACAUACAGUGCAACUCUCAUUCUGUUAGUAAAGCCCCAUCGUCACCAUCUUCCUUCAUUCUCUCAGCGUAAAUUCAUGAAUGUGCUACCAAUCAAAAUGGAUCAAAUUGUGUCUCCAAAUCUAAAUCUCAUUCGGAGUUGUUGUUGUUGGUAUAUCGUGAUUAUGAUUUGAAAAAUCCCCUUUAAUUGUGAAAUUUGAAGCAUAUGUAGCAAACAAGGGUCAUUUCUCUUCUCUUAGUAUAUUUUCUGACAUGAACAGCUAGUGUAACUGUCUUCAAUAAGUUCUGCAGAUUCGUUUGGAUUGCUAUGUUUUAUCUGAUAAAUUUGGUGUUCCUAAUGUGUUGACUGGCAAGGUUUGUGAUGGUUUUAAUAUUGUUCCACUGGUUCAUUUGGCAUUUAUUAGAAUUGUUUGACUAGUAUCAAAAGUAAGAUCCAAUGUUGCUAUCUC